GUCAUCCUACGGGGGGCAGCAGUGGGGAAUAUUGGGCAAUGGGCGCAAGCCUGACCCAGCAACGCCGCGUGAAGGAAGAAGGCUUUCGGGUUGUAAACUUCUUUUAAGAGGGAAGAGAAGAAGACGGUACCUCUUGAAUAAGCCACGGCUAACUACGUGCCAGCAGCCGCGGUAAUACGUAGGUGGCAAGCGUUAUCCGGAUUUACUGGGUGUAAAGGGCGUGUAGGCGGGACUGCAAGUCAGAUGUGAAAAUUAUGGGCUCAACCCAUAACCUGCAUUUGAAACUGUAGUUCUUGAGGGAUGGG
This 305-nucleotide ribosomal RNA is filed under the name uncultured bacterium. RNAcentral's name for it is "bacterial SSU rRNA". It matches the Rfam family "Bacterial small subunit ribosomal RNA", at positions 333 to 653 of the family's 1533-position model. The record is from RNAcentral.